Molecule: long non-coding RNA, 558 nt
Organism: Ictalurus punctatus (channel catfish)
Lineage: Eukaryota; Metazoa; Chordata; Actinopteri; Siluriformes; Ictaluridae
Source: Ensembl
UCCUUUUUUUCUCCUUUUUAUUAUUUCAUAUCUUUCAUCCUGUGCAGCUUAAUUCAGGAAUGAAACACGUGAGUCAGCAAAAAAGAUCAGGUUUUGCUCAUCAUGCCACACUUUCCACGCGCUCACUGGCGCUGUUGGGCAGUUUGGUUCGUUUCGCAUAAAUUCGCUUGUUUUUAAAGCGAAACCCCAAGAAGUAAAAAAGGGAAGACCAUAAGAAACAAAGGGGAUACCCCAAGAAAAGUAAAAAGGGAAACCCUUAAGAAGUAAAAAAGGGAAACUUAUAAGAAGUAAAAAAGGGAAGACCAUAAGAAACAAAAAGGGGAAACCCCAAGAAGUAAAAAGGUAUACCCUUAAGAAGUAAAAAGGAAAGACCAUAAGAAACAAAACGGUAGUAUGAAGUAAAAAGGGAAACUGUUAAGAAGCAUAAAUGAAAACCCUUAAGUAAUGAAACCCUUUGAAAACAUUUCAAAACAUUUCAAGACCUCCCCUCAGGAUUCCAUCACGGCAGAAAUCUGCAUGAGGUCGGUGCAUUGUUACAGGCUUGACGUUAUCGACGUU